GGCAUUAAGCGUAUUAUUUAAUGUUUGGCCUGCCCUAUGAUGAAAUUAAAUGGCCGCAGUAUUUUGACUGUGUAAAGGUAGCAUAAUCAAUUGUCUAUUAAUUGUAGACUUGAAUGAAAGGUUGGACUUGGUUUUUCUUUUUUGGCUGCUAAGUGGUGAAUUUAUAUGUUUUGUAAAAAUACUAAGGGGAGUUUAGUAGACGAGAAGACCCUGUUGAGCUUUAUAUUUGAGUUUAUUUUAGGGUUGUAUGGAAGGUAUAAUAAAUUAUUAUAUUUUACUGGGGCGGUAAUAUUACAAUAAACGUGGUUUAGGUGGUCCGUUAUACACGAUUAAGGGAUUAAGUUACUGCAGGGAUAACAGCUUAAUUUUGUCUAAUAGGUCUUAUUGAUGGCAAUGUUUGUGACCUCGAUGUUGGUUUAAGGUAUCUAUAUAGAAGCACAAAAUUUGUAAGAUGGUUUGUUCAACCAUUAAAACCUUAUG
RNAcentral lists this ribosomal RNA (480 nucleotides) under Cryptops pictus. Its description in RNAcentral is "partial 16S ribosomal RNA". It matches the Rfam family "Bacterial large subunit ribosomal RNA", at positions 1830 to 2600 of the family's 2925-position model. The record is from RNAcentral. Lineage: Eukaryota; Metazoa; Arthropoda; Chilopoda; Scolopendromorpha; Cryptopidae.